RNAcentral lists this ribosomal RNA (200 nucleotides) under uncultured bacterium. RNAcentral describes it as "partial 16S ribosomal RNA". It matches the Rfam family "Bacterial small subunit ribosomal RNA", at positions 32 to 242 of the family's 1533-position model. The record is from RNAcentral.
AAUCAACGCUGGCGGCGCGCCUAACACAUGCAAGUCGAACGAGAAAGUGGAGCAAUCCAUGAGUAAAGUGGCGUACGGGUGAGUAACACGUGGAUAACCUGCCCUUUAGUGGGGAAUACCGCUGGGAAACCGGCGACAAUACCGCAUAAGCUCGAGAGGGGAAAGCAGCAAUGCGCUGAAGGAGGGGUCCGCGGCCGAUU